Molecule: long non-coding RNA, 269 nt
Filed under: Vigna radiata
Lineage: Eukaryota; Viridiplantae; Streptophyta; Magnoliopsida; Fabales; Fabaceae
Description: long non-coding RNA (VRAD_LNC013728)
Source: RNAcentral
GAGGAGAGAGUGGUAGAGAAAAAGGUAAGUGUUGAGUUAGUGAAGGGAGAAGAAAAAGAAGAGAAAAUAUGUGAGGGUAAGUUGGAAAAAGAUGAGAAGAAGAGGGGAGAGAAAAAAAUUGAAAAAGAGGAAAAAAGUGAAAAAGAUGGGAGAAUUCUUCCUUACUGAUGACUUGGGUCCAAGCCCAUCAUGGACCCAUCACUUGUGGACUAAAUCAACACAUGGAGAAGGGGUAAAACUGUCCAAAUGAAGACCACAACUGCUGGAAG